Molecule: RNA transcript, 2074 nt
Organism: Lepus europaeus (European hare)
Lineage: Eukaryota; Metazoa; Chordata; Mammalia; Lagomorpha; Leporidae
Gene: CASP1
Gene name: caspase 1
Exons: 12
Source: RefSeq, a predicted model, not a curated record
CCACACCCGAGAGUAGAAGAGAAAAGCCAUGGCUGACAGGAUUCUGAAGGACAGGAGGAAGCGGUUUAUCCACUCAGUGGGCACAGGUACAAUAAAUGGCUUACUGGAUGAAUUGUUAGAGAAAAGAGUGCUGAACCAAGAAGAGAUGGAGAAAGUAAGAGUUGAAAAUGCUACAGUUAUGGAUAAGGCCCGGGCUUUGCUGGACUGUGUCAUUCGGAAAGGGCCCCAGGCAUGCCAGAUUUGCAUCAACCACAUUUGUGAAGAUGACUGUCACCUUGCAGGACUGCUGGGGCUCUCCUCAGGUCCACAAUCUGAAAACCAUUUUAAUGCACAAGAUUCUGUGGAAGCAUUUUCUUCCUUUUCAGCUCCACAGACUACGCAGGACAACCAGGUUGUGCUCACACUUUCAGGCCCAAGAGGGGGCCUCAAGCUUUGCCCGCUAGAGACAGCCCAAAGGAUAUGGAAAGAAAAGUCAGAAGAGAUUUAUCCAAUAAAAAUGCAAAGUUCAGGCCGCACCCGUCUUGCCCUCAUUAUCUGCAACACAGAGUUUGACAAUCUCCCCAGAAGGACUGGAGCUGAUGUUGAUAUCACAGAUAUGAAGAUGCUGCUGAUAGGUCUGGGAUACAGUGUAGAUGUGAAAGAAAACCUCAAUGCUUUGGACAUGGCUACAGAGUUGAAGGCCUUUGCUGAUCGCCCAGAGCACUGGAAUUCUGACAGUACUUUCCUAGUGUUCAUGUCUCAUGGUACUAGAGAUGGUAUUUGUGGGAAGAAUUACUCUGAGCAAUACCCAGAUAUACUGAAGGUCAACACCAUCUUUGAGAUGUUAAAUACCAAGAACUGUCAGAGUUUGAAAGACAAACCCAAGGUGAUCAUCAUCCAAGCCUGUCGUGGUGAGAACCAAGGAAUAGUGUGGCUAAAGGAUUCAAUAGAAGAUUCUGGAAGCACAUCUUUACUGAAUCCAGAUGAUUUUGAGUAUGAUGCCAGUAGGAUAGCCCACAUAGAGAAGGAUUUUAUUGCUUUCUGCUCUUCAACUCCAGAUAAUGUUUCUUGGCGACAUCCCAAACAGGGUUCACUUUUCAUUAUGAGACUCAUCAAAAAUAUGCAGGAAUAUGCCUGGUCUUGUGAUGUGGAGGAAAUCUUCCGAAAGGUUCGAUUUUCAUUUGAACUGCCAGAAGGUAGGACACAGAUGCCUACCACUGAAAGGGUGACACUGACAAGACGAUUCUAUCUCUUCCCAGGACAUUAAAAUAUAGGACAUUUGUUGGACUUUCUGCUUUAAGGACAGAUGCAAAUAGUAGUAGGCAGAGUUAGACGGUGAGAGAGAGAGACAGAGACAAAGGUCUUCCUUUUCCGUUGGUUCACCCCUCAAUGGCCACUACGGCCAGCGCUGAGCCGAUCUGAAGCCAGGAGCUAGGUGCUUCCUCCUGGUCUCCCAAGCGGGUGCAGGGCUCAAGCACCGGGGCCAUCCUUCACUGCCUUCCCGGGCCACAGCAGAGAGCUGGACUGGAAGAGGAGCAACUAGGACAGAAUCCAGCGCCCCAACUGGGACUAGAACCUGGAGUACCGGCACCACAGGAGGAAGAUUAGCCAAGUGAGCUGCGGCACCGGCCUAUUAUGUUCUUAAAGUUGUGUAUGUGAAAUACAUGAAAUCUGUUCUUGUUACAUAAAUACAUAAAUAAAUUUAUUUAUUUUUACAAAAUGAUAGUGAUGAGACAGAGAGAAGAUGCAUAGUGACGGACAGCUUUAACAGGACACUUAAGGCAGAGUUACAGAGAAGGGGAAGGAGAGAUAAUUUCACCACCCAAAUGGCUGCGAUGGCCAGAGCUGGGCCAGGCUGUAGCCAGGAUCCAGGAGUUUUAUCUGGGUCUCCAACAUGAUUGCCGGGGCAUUUGGGCCAUCCUCUGCUGCUUUCCCAGAAAUAUCAUCAAGGAGCUAGAUUGGAAGUGGCACAACCGGGACUCAAAUCAGCACCCAUAUGGAUGCCAGAAUUCCAAGCAGUGGCUUAACCCAUUAUGCCACAACACUGGCCCGAAGAUAUAACUUCCUAAGGAUUUGAAUUUUUAGGUAAGUAGAA